AUUGAACGCUGGCGGCAUGCCUUACACAUGCAAGUCGAGCGGCAGCGCGGGGGCAACCCUGGCGGCGAGCGGCGAACGGGUGAGUAAUACAUCGGAACGUGUCCAGUAGUGGGGGAUAACCAGUCGAAAGACUGGCUGAUACCGCAUACGAUCCACGGAUGAAAGCGGGGGACCGCAAGGCCUCGCGCUAUUGGAGCGGCCGAUGUCGGAUUAGCUUGUUGGCGGGGUAAAAGCCCACCAAGGCGACGAUCCGUAGCUGGUCUGAGAGGACGACCAGCCACACUGGAACUGAGACACGGUCCAGACUCCUACGGGAGGCAGCAGUGGGGAAUUUUGGACAAUGGGCGCAAGCCUGAUCCAGCCAUGCCGCGUGAGUGAAGAAGGCCUUCGGGUUGUAAAGCUCUUUCGGCGGGGACGAAACGGUCCGUGCCAACACCACGGACUAAUGACGGUACUCGCAGAAGAAGCACCGGCUAACUACGUGCCAGCCGCCGCGGUAA
This 500-nucleotide ribosomal RNA is filed under the name uncultured bacterium. Its description in RNAcentral is "partial 16S ribosomal RNA". It matches the Rfam family "Bacterial small subunit ribosomal RNA", at positions 29 to 523 of the family's 1533-position model. The record is from RNAcentral.